CUGCUUUUCAUUUGGAUGAUGAUAGUCUCCUUUCAGACUGGAUCCUCUGAGGAUUUACUGACACCAUCUAAAGAUGUAGUGACGAGUUUGGAAGGAGGCACUGUGACUCUCUCCUGCAACUAUUCAGGCUCUGUCCUCAACCUCUACUGGUAUCAUCAGAAGUCUGGUUCACAUCCACAGCUUCUCAUAGAUGAACAUUCAGAGAAAAUAGAAAAGCUGAAGUUUAGAAAAGAUCAAGACAAAAGCGAUUUUUAUCUGGAGAUCUCCUCUGCUGCAGUGUCUGACUCUGCUGUGUACUACUGUGCUCUGCAGCCCACAGUGACAGGAAACAGCAAAACUCUGUAAAAACCUUUGUAGAGACAGAGCUGCUGUGGAAACACAAAACUAUUUGAUUGGCUCAGCUAUUAAACUGGCCCCGCCCACUGAAGUUGAGCUCAUCCAAUGACAUUAUUUGUUGGUCAUUGUGCUGCAGUGGAAGAACAUUGUUCAUGUGCUGUCUGUCUGGCUUUAAUAACUCCAAAGACAUGUUGCUGCACCUCUUUUUGCUUCUAUCUCACAUUAUAGGACUAACAGCUGGAGACUCAAUCACUCCUCAACAACCUGAAGUCACUAAAACAGAAGGAGAAUCUGUCAAACUCACAUGUAGCUAUGAG
This is a non-coding RNA of Maylandia zebra (zebra mbuna), 653 nucleotides long. Lineage: Eukaryota; Metazoa; Chordata; Actinopteri; Cichliformes; Cichlidae. The record is from RefSeq and is a predicted model, not a curated record.